GGAGCAUGUGGUGCUGCAUGAUGCAUUUAUAACGUCCUCCGGUGUUUCUCUGAAGCUGGUUUAUAUUUUUGGGAAAUAGAACCAAUCUUAACUCAUUAGAAAAUAUUACAGAUUAUGAAAACAGUCCUGUACACAUCUCUAGUUGAGAACUGGAGUGACGUAGCUGAGGUUGAGCAAGAAUUCACGUACCACGCUGAUGUUUCUAGAUUUCUUCCACUAUUUCCUGGAACAUAGUGGGAAUUAUGAGCUGUUACAAGGGUGAUGUUACUGCAAACAUUCUGUUUAAGUCUUGCUAGCGAUGUCCUCCAAGUUACUUUGCAAUUUUGGUCUCUUUUCUGACGUUAGUGAAUUGACUGAAAUGGUGUUAUUUCUUCAUUGCGACAUCGCUGACCUCUGUAGGCUUCUAAGUAAUACGAAAGAUGCUAAAACUGUGGUUCGUGAACUUCCUUAUUUGAUUACUGAUUAUUCAAUUUCCUUUUAACCGGUGUCCCAGACUGCACUGCCAUACCAGGCUCUGAUUAACACUUUCACAGUCACAUGCGGAAGACCUUCAGAUCACAUGUCGGACUCGAUUCUUCUGGGUCACAACGUUUUCGGUGUCAUAUGUCCUCAUACGUCCUCAUACGUCCACAUGAUUAUUCACGCAAUGCUAACGUGACACACAGAUACAUAGCGCAGAUGAUUAUAUACAGUACAGUGCAUCUAAAAAAUAACGUUCUGUAUAUUCAUUCUACAAUAACGAUGUCCAUAAAAGAUCAACAAUGUCGCCAUAACGAUUCCUUUAUAUUUAACGUCAAAUGAAUGCAUCCCUUGGUUUGUUUAAACACAUUUUAUUCAUUACCACCAGUUAUAACAUUAUUAAUAUAGAAUCAUUGAUUGAUGGGAAAGCAUGAGCACAUGACAAAGAUAUUUUAUUUCAACACAUUUCUUGAUCCACGUCUGAAAUCAAGUCCUGGUUACACCACUGCGCUGAACUCUCUACCUCUACAUUCAGUAUCUGUAAUGGUGUAAGCAAUUUUAUUUCCGUUAAAGGGAUAUGCCAGAGUUUCUCAACCCAAUCUCGAUAUCUAUAUCUGUAGUGCACGAAUGAUUACUAUUGACAAGACAUUUCAGAAAACCAGUUUAUUCCAAACUCAGUCUAAAGUCAGCUAAAUUAUUCAAAUACUAGUCUAAACACUGUAAUUAUAAAGGCAUUUACGUAAGACAGACAUGAGAGAGAGUCCAGAGGCUCAGGAAGGCAUUUUGACACACAGACAGGAUGUACAAAGUGACAUCAUGCUAAAUGAAGUCAUUAUAUGUUUCCCCCCCAAGAAAAUGAACAGUGUGGUUCAUUUUUUUUUAUCUAACAGAACGUAUUCCGAGAAAAUAUACAGUACAAGAUAGAUGACACUGAUAACACGAACGUUUAAAGGGUUCUAGAUGUAUCCUUCUUUUCUAAAAGUGUAUGAAAAAAAACCCAUUAUUAAUAUUCUUAUUAUUAUGCAAAUUCCAACUCUUUGGAAUGGAAGGUUAAUGUCCUACCUUUCCAAAAAAAAGUUAUAGAAGAGGAAACCUGUUGAAUGUUUCAACAGGGACAAAUGGAAUAAAAAGAAACCCCACCUAGAAACUAAAAAGCAAAAGGUCACUGGAUGUGGAAGGUUGGAGGUGGUGGGGGUCAGUAAAGCAGAUUUUAUCUGAGCUUGAGGAUGGUCUGGUAUUGGUAUGGUGCUGUGUUUCGUUCAUUCUAUUAUUUAAUUAAAGAAAUGACUCAAUGUUAUUUAAAUUCCCUCGAAAGACAUCCGGUUCUUAAAAUCUACCAUUAUAAAGCUUUUUUGUUAGGCUUUCCUUUGAUUCAACCGUGGUAUUUUCUAUAUCGUCUAUUUGUGCUGUACGUACUAUGUGGUAUUUGCUCCUGAUUUGAGUCUUUUCUUGCUCUAACUCAAUCACUUCACCUCAGCUGUUAAUUAGCUGAUCAAUUAAAUCAGGAAUGUUGGGAGAAGAGAAACAGUAAACUGUGGAUUCUCCAGCACCAGAGUUGGGAACUUGUGAAUUUGAGUGAUGAGAAAACACAGUUUUGUAUUUAUUUUGGACUCUAAACACGAAUUAUGCAAGAAAAUGAAAUGAGUGUCUGACUUAAGCCGUGUCAUUAAAGAAUCUGGUGUGGCUUUAGCUUUCUUUUCGGUGUAGUAAAGGGAAGAAUGUGAAGAAUCGAAUCGUUCAGAAAGAAUCUUUGAAGUGAACCGGAUCUAAAAGACUUGUAAAUGUGGUGCUGAUUAUAUUCGGUCAUAUAUAUCUUUUUUUUGUAACAGAUGAGUCAAUAGAAACUGGCAGGCAUUUAAGUUAUGUAAAUGCCCCUCACUCAGUUUAAAACAACAACAAAACACACAACCGAACGACUCGGAACGAAUCAGUGAGUGAAGGAAUCGAAUCACUUUGUUGUACUGAACUAAACAAAUCGACUCACUAUAAAUGAAGUGCUCUGUACACCACUGUGGCAUUCAUUGUCUUACUGUAAUUAUCAUCGAGUUCAUAUUACGUACAUCAGGUUAUUAGCAGGCUAAUGCUAAAGCGCUAAAAAGUAGUUUUUACCGGAGCUCACGGUGAAGGGGGGCGGGGAGGUGGAGCUUGUGAUGCGACGUGCAGCGCGAGCUCGCGGAGCCAUGUGCUCUUCUGCACGUUCUGCACGUACACGUUCUUUUAUUCGCAGUGCAACUGCACAGCAGUUACUCAUCAGCGCGCACGUAAGAGUCGUCCACUGGGUGUGCGCGUGCAUGCAAGAACACAGCAGGGUUAACCAAAAAAAAAAAAGAACACCAUCACUUGUGCGAUCCAAGAGAGAGAAAAAAAAUAUGCAUGCAACAAACAAACAAACACACAACUCCGUUACGUGCAUGCAUGACGUCACGAGCACUCAUUUACAGGCUGCACUACAGUAACCUACAUAACCGAUGAAAAGCUAUGGGUUGUCAUCUAUAUAACAUUUUUUUAAAUGGUUGCUUUUCGUGCAACUUAUCUCUCUGUCUCUUUUAAAGAGAGUAAAAGAAGAGCGCGAGGGUGGAGUUGCUGGAUUUGUGUUUACGGAUUAAGGAUUUAUGGUGUGUGUGUAAUUAGAAACCACACUGAGCUAUGCUAUGGAGCAGUUAUGUAAUCACUUCCCUGUUGCCCCUGCAAGCAUGCAUGCUGCUCUGCACAUCUCACUGCAGCUCAUCUGAACAUCCAAACAAAGUGGAAUUCUCAUGCACUUGAUUAAUGAUUAAAGUGCAAACAUGGCAUUGUGGCAUUGGUAUUGCACCUGGACUUCUGUGGCACUACUACUAUUACUAAAGCAUGCACUUGAAUGAAGUUUAAAAACAAAGAAGAAGAAGCCGGGUUUGGGAGAACAAUCUGGCAACCCUGGCCACCAGUCUGGCGUAAACAAGUCGGGAUUUUAGGGUGUGAGUCUUACGAAUCGCCUUUCAGCCAAUCACAGCUCACAUCCUGCCCACAUGGCUGGGUUGUUUACUACAAGAACUGGAGAGAGGAACCGAGAAACCCAGGAACUGACUCAAACCGGCAUGUACAACACAACACAUACACUACAAUGGGUAUGCCUCAAAACACGCACUUCUGUACUACUAUAGACUGAGGGUUACACAACUGUUCAACACACACACACACACACACCUUACAUUAAAAACAUCAGGAUGAUGAGAUGUAUAAGCCAAACAUUUAAAAAAGUGCAUGAGAUUCUUCUUUAAAUGCGAGCAGUAAC
This is a long non-coding RNA of Ictalurus punctatus (channel catfish), 3730 nucleotides long. The record is from Ensembl. Lineage: Eukaryota; Metazoa; Chordata; Actinopteri; Siluriformes; Ictaluridae.